UUUCUUAAUGUGGGCAUUCAUUGAUAUAAAUUUUCCUCUUAGAACUGUUUGCAUAACUCAAAGUGCAUCAAAGACUUAAACAUUAAAACAGAGAUCCUGCACCUAAUAGAAGAAAAAGAAGGCCCAAAUCUUCACCAUGUCAGCCCUAGGAUCUGACUUCCUUAACAACACUCCUAAAGCAAGGAAAUAGAUUACACAUAUGUUCAAAAUUGACUUUCCACACUGGGGCUGACAGUUACUUCAUCUUCUGUGUCUCCCACACUUAAACAGUGACCCAUACUUGAGCCCUGAUCCAGCUCCCAGCCCUUGAAUAUCAACUAGCUGUCAAGUGGCAUGUUAAUUAUAUAAGCCUGUUUCCAUCAGAAAGCGGGCAGCAUUUUUCCUCAUUAUAAUAUAUAUCUAUUAUAGAUGCAGAUUUAUUUUUCUUGCAUGCCAAAUUGUUGUCUGCAUGGUCAUCUAUAGCCUACUAAAUACCUGUGUUCUUGGUAUGUCCUUAACCAUGCUUCUGACCUGAGAAUUUGUUUAUUGAUAAAUGAAGUAAAGUAUUAAACUGAUAAUUUUUGGGGGGGGCACUAGGGAUUGAACCCAGUGGUGCUUAACCACUGAGCCACAUCUCCAGCCCUUUUUAUUUUUUAUUUUGAGACAAGGUCUCAAUAAGUUGCUUAGAGCCUUGCUUUUAGAGCCUCACUAAGUUGCUGAGGCUGGCUUUGAACUUGCAAUUCUCCUACAUCAGCCUCGUGAGCCGUUGGGAUUAUAAGCAUGUAGCAACAUGCCAAGCUAAACUAGUAUCAUUGAGAUUCACUGGUCUUACUAUGUAUCCCAUCAUCCAGAAGUAGACAAGCUUUUAGAAGUAGAAGGUCCUUUGGGAGACCCAGCACUUAGCUGAGAGAUCUCCCCUUUUUUAGCUUCUCUCUGUGUUCCUCCUCAGUAUUCUCCAAGGGACCCUCUUUCUCUGCUGCUAAUCCUUAAAUUAGUAUUCAUCACUGUUCUAUACUGAAUCUGUUUCUCACUUUUUUGAUUCAGGGGUGAUUUUAGAUUUUCUCUACUUUCACAGUUUUAAUUAAUUCCUACAUUUCUGACUCCCCCAUUAAUUUUUUUUAGGACAGUCACCUCUCCUAAGCAUCAACUACAGUCUGAGUAUUUCUACCUCAGUGUCUCAGUCAGUUUAAGCACAGGAUGGAUGAAUCAAAACUCUGUAGCUUCCUCCUCUCACCUCCUCAAAAUCCCUAAAAUUGGCAAAAUAUUCCUUGAUUGUAUUCCCUAUCACAGUGAAUGGCACCACAAUUCACAAGUGUUGCUCCAGCCAAUAAAGAUACCACUUGUUAGGCUGGGGAUGUAGCUCAGUUGGUAGAGUGCUUGCAUUGCAUGCACAAGAUCCUGGAUUCAAUCCCUAGCACCAAAAAAAAAAAAAAGAUACCACUUGUCAUUUGCCUCUCUAAUCUACUUAACCAAUCAGUCUUCAAAUCUUUCCAUUUUAGCUUCUGAAAUAAUGUUCUUUUUAAAAAAUUUCUACUGCCUUAGUUGUUGUUGUUGUUGUUAUUAUUAUUUGCAGUGUUGGGGAUUGAACCCAGGGAAAUCUUACCACUGAGUUACAUCCCCAGUCCUUUUAAUUUUUUUUUAUUUUGAGACAGGGUCUCACUAAGUUGCUGAGACUGACCUUGAACUUGUGCUCCUGUUUCAGCCUUUCAAGUCACUGGGAUUACAGGCAUGCACCAUCAUGCCAUAUUCUACUGCCUUAGUUUUAUUAAUUUUUUCUUUUUUGGAUAUGGGGUAUUAAAACCAAGGACAUUUUACCACUGAGCUACAUCUCAGCCCCUUUUAAUUUUUUUUUUCUCAUUUUGAGACAGUGUCUUGUUAAGUUCCUAAGGCUGACCUUAAACUUGGGAUCCUCCUGCCUCAGCCUCCCAAACUGCUGGGAUUACAGGUGAGUGCUUCCACUACUGCCUUAGUUUUAGAUAUCAUUAUUUCCAGUCUACUUUACUGCAGCAGCCUCCUAGCUAGUCUUUCUUCCUUAAAUCUUGUCUCCCUUUCGUUCAUUCUUCAUAUUGAAGACAGACUAAUAUAUUUGGAACACAUGGAGUCAAGUCUUUUGU
This 2093-nucleotide long non-coding RNA is filed under the name Marmota monax (woodchuck). Lineage: Eukaryota; Metazoa; Chordata; Mammalia; Rodentia; Sciuridae. The record is from RNAcentral.